UGCCAGCAGCCGCGGUAAUACGGAGGGGGUUAGCGUUGUUCGGAAUUACUGGGCGUAAAGCGCACGUAGGCGGAUCAGAAAGUUAGGGGUGAAAUCCCGGGGCUCAACCCUGGAACUGCCUCCAAAACUCCCAGUCUUGAGUUCGAGAGAGGUGAGUGGAACUCCGAGUGUAGAGGUGAAAUUCGUAGAUAUUCGGAAGAACACCAGUGGCGAAGGCGGCUCACUGGCUCGGUACUGACGCUGAGAUGCGAAAGCGUGGGGAGCAAACAGGAUUAGAUA
This 279-nucleotide ribosomal RNA is filed under the name uncultured bacterium. RNAcentral's name for it is "partial 16S ribosomal RNA". It matches the Rfam family "Bacterial small subunit ribosomal RNA", at positions 506 to 784 of the family's 1533-position model. The record is from RNAcentral.